UGUUAAUGGAGGGGAUAACACUUAAUUGA
RNAcentral lists this non-coding RNA (29 nucleotides) under Rattus norvegicus (Norway rat). Lineage: Eukaryota; Metazoa; Chordata; Mammalia; Rodentia; Muridae. The record is from RNAcentral.